UGGAGAAGUACCCAAGUGGCUGAAGGGUCCGGCUUCGAACACCGGUAGGCUGUAACAGGCGCGAGGGUUCAAAUCCCUCCUUCUCCGU
Molecule: transfer RNA, 88 nt
Filed under: uncultured Clostridium sp.
Lineage: Bacteria; Bacillati; Bacillota; Clostridia; Eubacteriales; Clostridiaceae
Description: tRNA-Ser(cga)
Rfam family: tRNA
About the family: Transfer RNA (tRNA) molecules are approximately 80 nucleotides in length. Their secondary structure includes four short double-helical elements and three loops (D, anti-codon, and T loops).
Source: RNAcentral